RNAcentral lists this ribosomal RNA (451 nucleotides) under uncultured bacterium. RNAcentral describes it as "partial 16S ribosomal RNA". It matches the Rfam family "Bacterial small subunit ribosomal RNA", at positions 354 to 796 of the family's 1533-position model. The record is from RNAcentral.
GUGGGGAAUAUUGCGCAAUGGGGGAAACCCUGACGCAGCGACGCCGCGUGAGCGAAGAAGGCCUUAGGGUUGUAAAGCUCUGUUUUAAGGGACGAAUGUCGUGGGGAGUAAUAUGCUCUGCGAAUGACGGUACCUUAAGAGGAAGCCCCGGCUAACUACGUGCCAGCAGCCGCGGUAAGACGUAGGGGGCGAGCGUUGUCCGGAAUUACUGGGCGUAAAGAGCACGUAGGCGGGAACUUAAGUCAGGUGUGAAAGACCGGGGCUCAACUCCGGGGUUGCACUUGAAACUGGGUUUCUUGAGGGCAGGAGAGGAAAGCAGAAUUCCUGGUGUAGCGGUGAAAUGCGUAGAAAUCAGGAGGAAUACCAGUGGCGAAGGCGGCUUUCUGGACUGACCCUGACGCUGAGGUGCGAAAGCGUGGGUAGCAAACAGGAUUAGAUACCCCAGUAGUCC